AGAGUUUGAUCCUGGCUCAGGACGAACGCUGGCGGCGUGCCUAAUACAUGCAAGUCGAGCGAGCUUGCCUAGAUGAUUUUAGUGCUUGCACUAAAUGAAACUAGAUACAAGCGAGCGGCGGACGGGUGAGUAACACGUGGGUAACCUGCCCAAGAGACUGGGAUAACACCUGGAAACAGAUGCUAAUACCGGAUAACAACACUAGACGCAUGUCUAGAGUUUGAAAGAUGGUUCUGCUAUCACUCUUGGAUGGACCUGCGGUGCAUUAGCUAGUUGGUAAGGUAACGGCUUACCAAGGCAAUGAUGCAUAGCCGAGUUGAGAGACUGAUCGGCCACAUUGGGACUGAGACACGGCCCAAACUCCUACGGGAGGCAGCAGUAGGGAAUCUUCCACAAUGGACGAAAGUCUGAUGGAGCAACGCCGCGUGAGUGAAGAAGGGUUUCGGCUCGUAAAGCUCUGUUGGUAGUGAAGAAAGAUAGAGGUAGUAACUGGCCUUUAUUUGACGGUAAUUACUUAGAGAGUCACGGCUAACUACGUGCCAGCAGCCGCGGUAAUACGUAGGUGGCAAGCGUUGUCCGGAUUUAUUGGGCGUAAAGCGAGUGCAGGCGGUUCAAUAAGUCUGAUGUGAAAGCCUUCGGCUCAACCGGAGAAUUGCAUCAGAAACUGUUGAACUUGAGUGCAGAAGAGGAGAGUGGAACUCCAUGUGUAGCGGUGGAAUGCGUAGAUAUAUGGAAGAACACUAGUGGCGAAGGCGGCUCUCUGGUCUGCAACUGACGCUGAGGCUCGAAAGCAUGGGUAGCGAACAGGAUUAGAUACCCUGGUAGUCCAUGCCGUAAACGAUGAGUGCUAAGUGUUGGGAGGUUUCCGCCUCUCAGUGCUGCAGCUAACGCAUUAAGCACUCCGCCUGGGGAGUACGACCGCAAGGUUGAAACUCAAAGGAAUUGACGGGGGCCCGCACAAGCGGUGGAGCAUGUGGUUUAAUUCGAUGAUACGCGAGGAACCUUACCCGGGCUCAAACGGGAGACGGCAGGGGCAGAGACGCCCCUUUCCCUCGGGACGUCUUCCGAGGUGCUGCAUGGUUGUCGUCAGCUCGUGCCGUGAGGUGUCGGCUUAAGUGCCAUAACGAGCGCAACCCCCGCGUGCAGUUGCCAGCAGGAAAGGCUGGGGACUCUGCACGGACGGCCGGCGCAAGCCGCGAGGAAGGCGGGGAUGACGUCAAAUCAGCACGGCCCUUACGUCCGGGGCGACACACGUGUUACACUGGGGGGUACAGCGGGAAGCCAGGCGGCGACGCCGAGCGGAACCCGAAAGCCCCUCUCAGUUCGGAUCGGAGUCUGCAACCCGACUCCGUGAAGCUGGAUUCGCUAGUAAUCGCGCAUCAGCCAUGGCGCGGUGAAUACGUUCCCGGGCCUUGCACUCACCGCCCGUCA
This 1431-nucleotide ribosomal RNA is filed under the name uncultured bacterium. Its description in RNAcentral is "partial 16S ribosomal RNA". It matches the Rfam family "Bacterial small subunit ribosomal RNA". The record is from RNAcentral.